Molecule: ribosomal RNA, 585 nt
Filed under: Pseudomonas sp. StFRB290F
Lineage: Bacteria; Pseudomonadati; Pseudomonadota; Gammaproteobacteria; Pseudomonadales; Pseudomonadaceae
Also listed under: 1 other name
Description: bacterial SSU rRNA
Rfam family: Bacterial small subunit ribosomal RNA
Source: RNAcentral
ACGGGUGAGUAAUGCCUAGGAAUCUGCCUGGUAGUGGGGGAUAACGCUCGGAAACGGACGCUAAUACCGCAUACGUCCUACGGGAGAAAGCAGGGGACCUUCGGGCCUUGCGCUAUCAGAUGAGCCUAGGUCGGAUUAGCUAGUUGGUGAGGUAAUGGCUCACCAAGGCGACGAUCCGUAACUGGUCUGAGAGGAUGAUCAGUCACACUGGAACUGAGACACGGUCCAGACUCCUACGGGAGGCAGCAGUGGGGAAUAUUGGACAAUGGGCGAAAGCCUGAUCCAGCCAUGCCGCGUGUGUGAAGAAGGUCUUCGGAUUGUAAAGCACUUUAAGUUGGGAGGAAGGGCAUUAACCUAAUACGUUAGUGUUUUGACGUUACCGACAGAAUAAGCACCGGCUAACUCUGUGCCAGCAGCCGCGGUAAUACAGAGGGUGCAAGCGUUAAUCGGAAUUACUGGGCGUAAAGCGCGCGUAGGUGGUUCGUUAAGUUGGAUGUGAAAGCCCCGGGCUCAACCUGGGAACUGCAUUCAAAACUGUCGAGCUAGAGUAUGGUAGAGGGUGGUGGAAUUUCCUGUGUAGCGGUG